RNAcentral lists this ribosomal RNA (478 nucleotides) under uncultured bacterium. RNAcentral describes it as "partial 16S ribosomal RNA". It matches the Rfam family "Bacterial small subunit ribosomal RNA", at positions 28 to 523 of the family's 1533-position model. The record is from RNAcentral.
GACGAACGCUGGCGGCGUGCUUAACACAUGCAAGUCGAACGGUAAGGCCCUUCGGGGUACACGAGUGGCGAACGGGUGAGUGACACGUGGGUGAUCUGCCCUGCACUUCGGGAUAAGCCUGGGGAACUGGGUCUAAUACCGGAUAGGACUCCGGACUGCAUGGUCUGGGGUGGAAAGCUUUUGCGGUGUGGGAUGGGCCCGCGGCCUAUCAGCUUGUUGGUGGGGUGAUGGCCUACCAAGGCGACGACGGGUAGCCGGCCUGAGAGGGUGACCGGCCACACUGGGACUGAGAUACGGCCCAGACUCCUACGGGAGGCAGCAGUGGGGAAUAUUGCUCAAUGGGCGCAAGCCUGAUGCAGCGACGCCGCGUGAGGGAUGACGGCCUUCGGGUUGUAAACCUCUUUCAGCAUCGACGAAGCGAAAGUGACGGUAGGUGCAGAAGAAGGACCGGCCAACUACGUGCCAGCAGCCGCAGUAA